GCUGGAAUUUCAUAAGUGACAUGAUUUCUUGGCUAUUUUAUUUUUUUUAUAAGGAGGAGUUUUCAGACUGUUUUGUUUCAUUCCUAUGCUUUGCAUAUAUAUGGGCUCUGAAUUAGAAAGGGCAUGAAACCCGCAAUUUGUAGGAGCAGGAGGCAAUGUCCAAUCCAGCGAGUGAACUAAUUCGUGCUGCCGUGCGUAGUGCCAAAUGCAUAUAAUUCUGUUGGGUACUUUUUACAUUUUGUUUACCCCGUUGCUCCUUGCCUUUAAUUUCG
This 272-nucleotide long non-coding RNA is filed under the name Brachypodium distachyon (stiff brome). Its description in RNAcentral is "long non-coding RNA (BDIS_LNC002779)". The record is from RNAcentral. Lineage: Eukaryota; Viridiplantae; Streptophyta; Magnoliopsida; Poales; Poaceae.